Molecule: ribosomal RNA, 392 nt
Filed under: uncultured bacterium
Lineage: Bacteria
Description: partial 16S ribosomal RNA
Rfam family: Bacterial small subunit ribosomal RNA
Source: RNAcentral
AUACGGAGGAUCCGAGCGUUAUCCGGAUUUAUUGGGUUUAAAGGGUGCGCAGGCGGCCAUUUAAGUCAGCGGUUAAAUCGUGGGGCUCAACCCCAUUCUGCCGUUGAUACUGGGUGGCUUGAUUGCGGUCGAGGUUGGCGGAAUUCGUUGUGUAGCGGUGAAAUGCAUAGAUAUGACGAAGAACCCCGAUUGCGUAGGCAGCUGACCAGACCGCAAAUGACGCUCAUGCACGAAAGUGCGGGGAUCGAACAGGAUUAGAUACCCUGGUAGUCCGCACAGUAAACGAUGAAUACUUGUUUUCGGCGAUAUAAUGUCGGAGGCAAAGCGAAAGCGAUAAGUAUUCCACCUGGGGAGUACGCCGGCAACGGUGAAACUCAAAGGAAUUGACGGGG